CCUACGGGAGGCAGCAGUAGGGAAUAUUGCUCAAUGGGGGCAACCCUGAAGCAGCAACGCCGCGUGGAGGAUGAAGGUUUUCGGAUUGUAAAAUUCUUUUGAUAGAGGAGAUAAUUACGGUAUCUAACGAAUAAGCACCGGCUAACUCCAUGCCAGCAGCCGCGGUAAUACGGAGGGUGCAAGCGUUACUCGGAAUCACUGGGCGUAAAGGGGGCGUAGGCGGGUUAGUAAGUCAGAUGUGAAAUUCUACGGCUUAACCAUAGAACUGCAGUUGAUACUGUCAUUCUAGAGUACGGGAGAGGUAGGUGGAAUUCGUGGUGUAGGGGUAAAAUCCUUAGAGAUCAAGAAGAAUUCUGAUUGCGAAGGCGGCCUGCUAGAACAUAACUGACGCUGAUGCGCGAAAGUGUGGGUAGCAAACAGGAUUAGAUACCCGAGUAGUC
This 440-nucleotide ribosomal RNA is filed under the name uncultured bacterium. RNAcentral's name for it is "partial 16S ribosomal RNA". It matches the Rfam family "Bacterial small subunit ribosomal RNA", at positions 338 to 795 of the family's 1533-position model. The record is from RNAcentral.